Long non-coding RNA from Glossina fuscipes, 1480 nucleotides. RefSeq lists it as uncharacterized. The record is from RefSeq and is a predicted model, not a curated record. Lineage: Eukaryota; Metazoa; Arthropoda; Insecta; Diptera; Glossinidae. The transcript is spliced from 3 exons.
AAUUCGGUAAGGAAGCAAGUGUAGGUAGCGUUUAAUAAAAGUUAUUUUCAGAAAAAUUAAUUAACAACUAUUAAAAGUUUACGAAUAAAUGUGAUAAAUUCAAUAAUUACCUGAGAUUUAGAAUUAGGAAAAGUUGAAUAAAAGUGAUACUCUGUCUAAAAAAUAUAUAAAAUUUCACGGUUUGCACAAAUUAGAGAAAUGUAAACGUUUGUAAUACUGUAUGUAUCAGAAAGAGAAAAAGGUAUAGCAAGUGGUGCUAAGUUUGCACGUAAGCUUAACAUUAGAGUGAUAGAGGUGGCAGUUGUCUAACAAGUUUAUGUAGUUUUGCUUCUAAUUUCUUUUGAAAUAAAAAUCAAAGGAAAGAAAAAUUGCGCACUUUUGCAGCGUAUUUCGGCAUAGGUGUCGUGUAAAUGAAAAAUCUGGAAAGAACAGUUAAAGAAAUGAGAAAUUAUGUUGUCUCCCUGAUUAUAUAAGCACUAUCACCAUUUAACUUUCUUAUCAGAUCAGAUGAUAAUUAAAAUGAAGUCGUAACACAAAGUACAGUUGAUCUCCUACAAAAAUCAUUGCUGCGUCUAGUGUGACAUCAGCGCUAGCUACGCUAGCCACUAAUACAGUAAUUGCAAGGUAAAAAUUCCAAUAUAUGUGAAGGCUGUCAAAAAAGAUUUAAGCGGAGAAAUUGAUACGUUAUCGGAUACUGCUGCACCCUGCAGUUCAACUUCGUAUGUUAAUAACAAUAAUGUUAGUAAUGACAGUACAGUGCAAGCAAAGAAAAUUUAUUGCCCCCGAUUAACCGCACAUUUAACAAAAGAGGAUUCAAUUCAAAAAUCAUCACAGCCUGCAGUUGCUUUUCGUACUGAAAUGUGAACGAGAUUCAUCUACUCCUUUGCAUGACGUCACUUUGAAUAGCUCAGCCAGCCGAAGCCAGCCAAUAGCUUCCCAGUCAAGGAAUAUAAACUUCUGCAAAUUUUCAAUAGCUUCUAACGCACGUACAGCAUUUCCGCGGCGAGUUCGGCUGGUGGUGGUAAACCCACUAAUUCCACGACAACAAUCAGUGGCAGCAUUGGCAUCUUCAGCAAUGGUUUAACUACUGGGAACACUAAUUCGAGUACGCUGUCUUUUAUAUCUCUCUACUAUCGCCAAUGGCAUGACUCCGUAACGUUUGCAACAAAAAAUUAAAGUCGCCCCCGUCGAAUCCGAACAUCCAAAAUCCGCCUAUUCGUAUUCUUGGUUAGUAGCCCGUUACGGAAAUUUACAGUUUCAUGUGUGAACAUAUUCCGUAUUCUAAAACUGCACCUAGCAGCUUGAAGAAUAAUGUCCGUCACAAUCUGUCGUCGAAUAAAUUUUUGGGAAAAUCGAAAAACGUCUAACCAACAGUUGCCAACGCAAAGCUAUGAAACCGGAACCGUAUCUCGAAAAUGUGUGAGAAGGUAGAAAAAUGGUCGCGGACUAUCCCUAUGGCUAAUCACAAUGUCAUGGGAUA